RNAcentral lists this ribosomal RNA (674 nucleotides) under Arthrobacter sp. RNAcentral describes it as "bacterial SSU rRNA". It matches the Rfam family "Bacterial small subunit ribosomal RNA", at positions 333 to 1018 of the family's 1533-position model. The record is from RNAcentral. Lineage: Bacteria; Bacillati; Actinomycetota; Actinomycetes; Micrococcales; Micrococcaceae.
CUACUCUACGGGAGGCAGCAGUGGGGAAUAUUGCACAAUGGGCGCAAGCCUGAUGCAGCGACGCCGCGUGAGGGAUGACGGCCUUCGGGUUGUAAACCUCUUUCAGUAGGGAAGAAGCGUAAGUGACGGUACCUGCAGAAGAAGCGCCGGCUAACUACGUGCCAGCAGCCGCGGUAAUACGUAGGGCGCAAGCGUUAUCCGGAAUUAUUGGGCGUAAAGAGCUCGUAGGCGGUUUGUCGCGUCUGCCGUGAAAGUCCGGGGCUCAACUCCGGAUCUGCGGUGGGUACGGGCAGACUAGAGUGAUGUAGGGGAGACUGGAAUUCCUGGUGUAGCGGUGAAAUGCGCAGAUAUCAGGAGGAACACCGAUGGCGAAGGCAGGUCUCUGGGCAUUAACUGACGCUGAGGAGCGAAAGCAUGGGGAGCGAACAGGAUUAGAUACCCUGGUAGUCCAUGCCGUAAACGUUGGGCACUAGGUGUGGGGGACAUUCCACGUUUUCCGCGCCGUAGCUAACGCAUUAAGUGCCCCGCCUGGGGAGUACGGCCGCAAGGCUAAAACUCAAAGGAAUUGACGGGGGCCCGCACAAGCGGCGGAGCAUGCGGAUUAGUUCGAUGCAACGCGAAGAACCUUACCAAGGCUUGACAUGAACCGGAAAGAUCUGAAACCAUUCCCCCCA